RNAcentral lists this ribosomal RNA (1276 nucleotides) under Cucujus sp. MJ-2020. RNAcentral describes it as "16S ribosomal RNA". The stretch from base 1036 to 1194 matches the Rfam family "Archaeal large subunit ribosomal RNA", at positions 2542 to 2701 of the family's 2987-position model. The record is from RNAcentral. Lineage: Eukaryota; Metazoa; Arthropoda; Insecta; Coleoptera; Cucujidae.
AUAGAAAAAGUUAUUGUAAAUAAAUAGUUUAUAUAAAAUUAAAAAAAAUAAUUUUAUUUUUAUUAUGUUAAAGAAAAAAUUUUUAUAAUUAUAGAGUAAUAGUAUUGUGAGAGAAAGUUUAAAUAUUUUGUAAAAGAAAAUUUUGUGUGUUGUACCUUGUGUAUCAGGGUUGAUUAAUUAUUAAUUAAAAAUUUUAGUUUUUUCGAAUUUGAAAGGGUUAAUAAUUUAUUAAUUUUAUUGUAGAAUAAAUAUUUUUAAUUAAUUAUUAGUAAUGAAAUGUUAUUCGUUUUUAAAUAUAUCUGGUUUUUAAAGAAAUUAAUUUAAUUAAGUUUUUAUUAAUAUUAAAUUAAGUUUUAAAUUUAAUGUUAGUGAAAGGUUAUAUUAUUAGGGAAGAGCUUAAUAAUAAAUUAUUAUAAGUUUAUAAGUUAUAUAUAAAAUGUAGGAUUAAAAUUUUUUAUCAUUAGUAAAAUGUUAUAAUUGAUUAUAUUUAAAUAUGAUUUAUAUAAAUUUUAAAUUUUUUAUUUAAAUUUUAAUUUUAAUUUUAGAAAUUAAGUAAUAAUGAUUAAAUUAGUAUAUUUUAUAUGUAAUUAUAAAUUGAUAUAUAAUUUUAGUUAAAGGAAUUCGGCAAAAAUUUUUCCACCUGUUUAUUAAAAACAUGGCUUAUAGAUUAUAUUUUUAGGUCUGUCCUGCCCACUGAUUUAUUAAAUGGCCGCGGUAUUUUGACCGUGCAAAGGUAGCAUAAUCAUUAGUUUUUUUAUUGAAAGCUGGAAUGAAGGGAUGAAUGAGAAAAUUUCUGUCUUUAAUUAAAUAAUAGAAUUUUAUUUUUAAGUAAAAAAGCUUAAAUAAUUUUAAAAGACGAGAAGACCCUAUAGAGUUUAAUAUUUUAGAUAAUUUUAUUUUUAGUUUUAAAAUUUAAGUUAUUGAAAAAUAUUUAGUUGGGGUGAUUGAAAAAUUGAAUUAACUUUUUUUAAAUUUUUACAAAGAUGUUUGAAUUUUUGAUCCGUUUAAAUGAUUAAAAGAUUAAAUUACCUUAGGGAUAACAGCGUAAUUUUUUUAGAGAGUUCUUAUCGAAAAAAAAGUUUGCGACCUCGAUGUUGGAUUAAAAUUAAAGUUUGGUGUAGAAGCUAGAUUAUUUAGUCUGUUCGACUAUUAAAAUUUUACAUGAUCUGAGUUUAAACCGGUGUGAGCCAGGUUGGUUUCUAUCUUUAAAUUAUAUUAAUAUUUUAGUACGAAAGGACCGAGUAUUAGAUUAAUAAUUUAAAUUUUGAAUUAUAUU